Molecule: long non-coding RNA, 765 nt
Filed under: Ananas comosus (pineapple)
Lineage: Eukaryota; Viridiplantae; Streptophyta; Magnoliopsida; Poales; Bromeliaceae
Description: long non-coding RNA (ACOM_LNC029303)
Source: RNAcentral
UCACACACAGUGGUUUUACACUGCGCGAGAAAGCCCACAUGCGAGUAGUUAACCCAAAGAUUUAAAAGGUAGAAUAAUACCUAGAGAAGGGGUGAAUAGGUGUAAACAGUAACAAAAAACCAACUCGGCAUAUUUAAAAUCAAUGAAGGAAGAUAAAAUCAACACACCAAGAAUUUACAUGUAAAAACUCCAAGUAAAAAAUCGAUGGGACCGAUUACACAAAAAAUUCACUAUAAAUAAAAGGAGUACAAGGUAAUAUAUCAAAUCCAUAACUCACCCUUUACCCUAUUUGUAGUAGAUCUUCUUUCCUUGUCCACGAUCGAUCGAACUCCUCCAACCAAUCAGGUUACGAGUCCACACAAUAUCCACGCCUCAAGUCCAUGAAGCCUUCACUAAAUCCACGGCCUUCACGCGAGUCCACGCGCAAACACCCCGUUCGGAGAGUAAUAAACGAAUUGUUGAUAGUGAUUUGAUGUAUAGAAAAAUAAAAGAUUUGGAAAAAAAAAUCUUCUAAGAAAGCAUCAAUUUCAUUCUUAAGAGAAAAUCUGAAUCAAAAAUCUAAAAAUCAAAUUGAACAAAGAAACUUGUUCUUGAGAGAAGGAAGAAGAAUCACCAAAAUAAGUUUCUAGGAUUCUAAGAGAUAUUCUAAUCUAAACCGUGUUUCGGAGAGACCCCCCAAAUCUUAUUUAUAGGUUUGAAAGUAAUUAGAAUCAGAUAAGGAUUGAAAAAUUCAAUUAAAAAAAAAUUGUUUCGAGUUCAGGAUCC